GACGAACGCUGGCGGCGUGCUUAACACAUGCAAGUCGAACGGAAAGGCCCUGCUUUUGUGGGGUGCUCGAGUGGCGAACGGGUGAGUAACACGUGAGUAACCUGCCCUUGACUUUGGGAUAACUUCAGGAAACUGGGGCUAAUACCGGAUAGGAGCUCCUGCUGCAUGGUGGGGGUUGGAAAGUUUCGGCGGUUGGGGAUGGACUCGCGGCUUAUCAGCUUGUUGGUGGGGUAGUGGCUUACCAAGGCUUUGACGGGUAGCCGGCCUGAGAGGGUGACCGGCCACAUUGGGACUGAGAUACGGCCCAGACUCCUACGGGAGGCAGCAGUGGGGAAUAUUGCACAAUGGGCGGAAGCCUGAUGCAGCAACGCCGCGUGCGGGAUGACGGCCUUCGGGUUGUAAACCGCUUUCGCCUGUGACGAAGCGUGAGUGACGGUAAUGGGUAAAGAAGCACCGGCUAACUACGUGCCAGCAGCCGCGGUGAUAUGUAGGGUGCGAGCGUUGUCCGGAUUUAUUGGGCGUAAAGGGCUCGUAGGUGGUUGAUCGCGUCGGAAGUGUAAUCUUGGGGCUUAACCCUGAGCGUGCUUUCGAUACGGGUUGACUUGAGGAAGGUAGGGGAGAAUGGAAUUCCUGGUGGAGCGGUGGAAUGCGCAGAUAUCAGGAGGAACACCAGUGGCGAAGGCGGUUCUCUGGGCCUUUCCUGACGCUGAGGAGCGAAAGCGUGGGGAGCGAACAGGCUUAGAUACCCUGGUAGUCCACGCUGUAAACGGUGGGUACUAGGUGUGGGGUCCAUUCCACGGGUUCCGUGCCGUAGCUAACGCUUUAAGUACCCCGCCUGGGGAGUACGGCCGCAAGGCUAAAACUCAAAGGAAUUGACGGGGCCCCGCACAAGCGGCGGAGCAUGCGGAUUAAUUCGAUGCAACGCGUAGAACCUUACCUGGGUUUGACAUGGAUCGGGAGCGCUCAGAGAUGGGUGUGCCUCUUUUGGGGUCGGUUCACAGGUGGUGCAUGGCUGUCGUCAGCUCGUGUCGUGAGAUGUUGGGUUAAGUCCCGCAACGAGCGCAACCCUUGUUCACUGUUGCCAGCACGUUAUGGUGGGGACUCAGUGGAGACCGCCGGGGUCAACUCGGAGGAAGGUGGGGAUGACGUCAAGUCAUCAUGCCCCUUAUGUCCAGGGCUUCACGCAUGCUACAAUGGCUGGUACAGAGAGUGGCGAGCCUGUGAGGGUGAGCGAAUCUCGGAAAGCCGGUCUCAGUUCGGAUUGGGGUCUGCAACUCGACCUCAUGAAGUCGGAGUCGCUAGUAAUCGCAGAUCAGCAACGCUGCGGUGAAUACGUUCCCGGGGCU
RNAcentral lists this ribosomal RNA (1346 nucleotides) under uncultured bacterium. Its description in RNAcentral is "bacterial SSU rRNA". It matches the Rfam family "Bacterial small subunit ribosomal RNA", at positions 28 to 1381 of the family's 1533-position model. The record is from RNAcentral.